AGCCAACUACAACAUCAAUUGCUCCAGCAAGUAAAAAGCCAACAACAACAUCAAUUGUUCCGGCAAGUAAAUAGCCAACAACAACAUCAAUUGUUCCAGCAAAUAAAAAG
Molecule: long non-coding RNA, 110 nt
Organism: Olea europaea var. sylvestris
Lineage: Eukaryota; Viridiplantae; Streptophyta; Magnoliopsida; Lamiales; Oleaceae
Exons: 3
Source: RefSeq, a predicted model, not a curated record